UUGACUUUUUAGGGCUAAAGACAUUUUUCUCAUGUUUUUGUUUAAAUCUUAGAUUUCUAUCAACUUAAUUCAGGAAAUAUAUUUUAAACUGAUAUUUUUUAAGAAACUUCAUAUUAAUGCUUUAAAAUUGCCCAAAUGAAGACCCUUUUGUGCUUUUAAAUAAGGAAUGAUGGUUUCACAUACAAGUCCAUUUCAUAUACAGAUUUUUCCAAAAAUAGCUGAUUUGUGGUAUUAUUAGCAGCUUGUUCCUUUAGUGAAAGUAGAUAUUUAUUCAUUAACAUUGUGUAAUUUUGUUUUUCAAUCCCAGUGGGAUUGUUUUUGUUUCAAAAAGAGAAACAUUACUUUCUAUUAUUGCUGCUUAUUAGCUUGAUUAUUGUGGUACCCAAUACAUAGUUGUAUAAUACAGUUAAGAGCACCAGGCCAUCAUCACAGUUACAUAGGCAUGUCUUUAUAGAGAUGCCUGAAAAGUUUAUAGCCUUUUCCUGUUGGAAUUUUAUAUUUCUGUAAACUUCAGAACAAGGCGCUCCCAAGAAAAUAAGAUUACAGAACAGCAUGAAGUGAAAAUAAAAACAUGAGGUAAACUAGUCCACUUUAAAAAAAGAAAAAAAUUAAUACCACUUGAUGUAAUAUAGCGACAUACUUUUAUCCAUAUAUAUCAUUACAUAGUAAAUGGUUUGUUGUUUUUUACAUUUCUCCCCUUUCUAAGAUUGACUUCUCCUAUUAUUGUUUUUGACCAAGUAAAUGUAUGCUCUUGUAUUUAUGUAUGCUAAUGUAUGCUAUUUUACGUAAUGAACAGGAGAGUUAAAUUUGAAUUAAGAUUUUUUUUCAACUCUGUAUGUUAACUUCUACCUGCAGUGUAGAUUUAUUGCCUUGCAUUUGUCAGCCAAUAGACUAUUACUUAAAUGUUCUGUAUUCUUUGAGAAAUUGACUUUGUAGUAGUUGUGUAAUUUUGCUUUUAUUGUCCCAUUUGAUAUGAUGAUAUAGAUUUAUAGAUGGAUGAUGGUAUCACACUGAUCACAUUUAAUGACAUUUCUGCAGUCUCUUUUUGUUGACAGAUAUGCAGAUGCACCAUUAUUUCACUUUUGGAGAGGUCUGAGUUUUGUGUCUAAAUUUUUGUUUGAUGGGUUUUUGUUUUUGUUUUUUGGCUCUCUCUCAAAGUGGCUUGGACUAGGAAUUUCAAAUGUGUUGCCGUCAUUUGACCUCAAAAAGAUCUGGGGUUUACAUGUGUACUGAACCAUGCUGGGUGGACAGUUGAAAGUUACUUGCCUUGAAAUAACCUUCUAUGUGCUAUGCAAAGUAGUAGUAUAUCCAAGCUUUUGUGAGGAGUACUUUUGCAUGUAACAAAUCCCAGAGAUGUAAUCUGCAGGUUUUAAAUUCUGUGCCCUGAAUUUGUUCAGGAUCUGAAGGUUGUGUAUACUGCAAGAACUCCUGCAAAGAUUGCAGAUUCUGUGCUCCUAAUUGUAGUUGCUUAUCUACAUAUUAUCAUACAUCAUUAUUAUAUACAGUGGUCAUCAUUAAAAUAUGGACAUUUAUCAUUUUAAAUCAUUAGCAUUGCUUUGGUAUGAAAGAUAUCCUCUGUAUGUUGUUGGAAUUUGUGACCCCAUUUAGCAUGCAUAUUAAGUGUCAAUGUACUGUACUGAGUACCAGUUUUAAAUGACUGCAUUAUUAAUUGGUGACAUAGUGUGAAUUGUCAUCUGCCUAUGCUCAGGUUAUGUGUUGUGUUCACUGCUCUUCAUAAUACUUUGACGAUAAAAGUCUUUAACUACUGUAAAUGCAAACACUUGCAUUAUCUAAUCUUCACGAUACCUCUGUGAAGGAUGUGAGCAGGGUUUCAAAUACCUUCCUUCCCAGGAUGAAUAAAAUGUUUGCCCUGGUGAAUUGGGCUGUGAAUCCCCUGCCUGCUUCUGUGGAGAAGAGGAGCACAGAAUAGCCCUGUUGCUGCUCCUUUAGAAGGAGGGAAAAGGAGAAAGCGGGAGUAGAGUGGCUCAGGCAUACUAGUCCAUUUUUAGGAGGGGAGAGGAUGAAAGAGACCAGAGUAGUUGGAGCCUUGACUUUUCAGAGGGUAAUCAGGAGGGAGGAGCAGAGGGCCCAGGUGGAGAGGUUUAUGAUAGGUCAAGGACCUUCUGAAUGUCCAGCAGUGGGGCAGUUGCAGCACAACAGAACCCUGCAAAGAAGUAGCAGGAACCAAAUUGAUUUUUAUUUAUUUUUUGUUUGUUUGUUUGUUUGGACAGGAGGGGCAGAUUUAAUUGUUAGCAGCAUUGUGAUUUAUUAAUGACAUUGAAGAUGGGGCAAUAGUAAUUAAAUUAGACUGGAUUUUGAGGGGGCAAGUCAUGAGAGAUUAGAUGAGUGUUCUGGCAAAUGAGUGUCAGAGACGUUCUUCAAACCCUGUAGCAGACACGCCUAACCUGCGAAAAAAACACAGAAAUUGGGCUUGGUUUUGGCUUAAUUGGCUUGUGAGUUGCUUGUUGGCUACUUUUUGGCUUGUAGGUUUUGCUUGUGUGGCUUGUAGCUUAUUGCUUGUUUUUUUGAUCUGCUCCUGGCAAACAUGGGAAAGGGGGGGCAAAGAGGGGGAGAGAGUCACGGGUGCACAGCAGGCCCACCACAGGCCCAGAUUGCACGCUGGGGGGAUCUAGUCAUAUAGAGUGUUGGGGUUCUUAGGGAUUGGCUUGUUAUGGCCUUGUUUUGAAAUGGGAUUUGCUUGAUUUUUGGCUUAUUGUGAAAGUCGGGGUGCUUAUUUACCACGUGAAAGUUGGCAGCUGUGCCCUGUAGUUGAGUAUUCUCUCCUUUUUGAAGCUGGAGAAAUUGAGAGAGAGAGAGAGAUGUUAAAGUUGUUCAAAACCACUGUAGUAGUUGAUUUCAAAGCCAUGAUUAGAACACAAGAGUCUGACUCCAGUCUGAUAUUCAUCCCACCAUGCCAUGCCAUGCCAUCAUUCAGUAUGUAGUAUAUGCUACCUGGAAGACAUUUUUGGAUUACUGUUGGUCAGGUGAUACCCAGCUGUGUACUUCUCCGUCUCCAGAAGGGGCUUUUUAGUGAUAUAAAAAGCCAAGGUGGAGGUCUCGAGAGCCCCAGUUAUUCAACCACAUACAUGCUUGCUGGGACUACUUACUAUGUGCAAGUCUUUGCAGGACUGGAACCUGAAAGAGUAAUGGUGACUGAAGGGAAGAGUCUGGUGUCGCUGUCUAGGUGCAUGUAGUUUGAUUUCAUUAACUUUUUGUGUUUUACUGUUUCAAAAUGUUAUGGCUCUCGUGUGUGUGUGUGUAGAUUUCUGUAACUGCUUUGCAAUUGGAAUUUUAUUAUAGGUAUCACCCUUGAAAAUGUUUUUGCUAUUCUAAUGGAAGAUAACCAACUGUAUAUGAAUUCCCACUGCAGUGCUGUAACUAAGAGCAUGAACAUGAUCCUUGAAUGUGUAAUCAGAGGAAUAUCAAUUUCAGGAGACAUGUUGGAAAGAGAUGAAAGAGCCAAAUUUAAAUGAGGCAAAAGUGACCUGUCUGUGCUAGCAUAAUUUGCCACUCAUAAAGCUGUAUUAUGAAACUCUUUCAAGGUGGGCUACUGGCAUCACUGGUCACUUUCUAUUACAGAAAAAAAUAUUUCAGAGCUACAUACUUUCAUAUAGUUGAUGGAGUGUUGUACUGUAGAUUGUUCUUGUCUCAAUUUUUGUAUGGAUUGACUUUGCCCCCCUACGUUAGAAAAAUGAAUAUUUCAGUUCAUUCCCAUAUCUACCUGUCUAUAUCUGAUAUAUAUUAUUCAACACACAGAAUUCCUUCAAUGUAUUUACUGUUUUAUGUCAGGAGAAUUUUUGUUUAAACAGAAUUUCUGUGGAGUGCCCUGAAAAGCAGUAAGGUAGUUCUGAAUCCUGUUGUUCUCUGGGACCCCCAUACAAGAUCUGGAAUUAUAACUGCAUAUAUAGGCUUAAUAGUGAGGAGUUAGUGCUUGCCUUGGAGAGGUCUCAUUUAUACCUGUUAGUCUCUCACUCCUGUUUUAAAGCCUGAAAUUUAAAUAUACUGUUCUUGAACUCGGUGGCGUAAUCAAUAUUUAAUUACACCAUUGUAAAAUAUACUUGAAAUGCUUUUAGAAAAACAAAUACGGGAUUUUCUCUUGCUGUAAGACAAGAUGACUAAUUCAAUCUUAUGAAGUAUGAUCUCAUUGUAGCUAGCAGGAAAUUACAGUUUUUGUUGAUACCUGUUUAACCUCAUUAAUUUAACGUUUUGGGGUAACAAAAGCCUUCUGUUAAAGUUUUAACAUUCUUGUCCUUUUUAAAUGUUAUAGCUUGUACAAACAUCCCUGAUGCCUCCCAGAAGUUCUCCAACAAAACCAGGGAAAACUAGACUUGAUAUUCCUGAUAUUUCUAAGGUUUAAAACAAACCCAAUCAGAAUUUAAAAAUAAAAAAAUGAAAAAAAAAAAGAGGCCUUCUUUUACACAUCAUAGAGAAGCAAAAAACAGUAUAAAUAUUGAUUUAAUCCUUUGCAGGUCAUCUUCAUCAGCAAUAAUAGAUGUGGACUUCACAUACAAUUCAAAUAUGGAUUAAUAUCGUAAACAUUAGAAAAGUUAUGGGUAUGCAAAAGAUGUGUGUGUCCUGUUUUGUAUGAUUCUAUGAAUCAUAGCUUUUUUUUGUUUUUUACAAGCAAAAUUAACAGACAGCAGUCUUGUAGAAUAUAACAGUGAUUUCAGAAGUAGGGACGGCUCUAGGCACCAGCAAAGCAAGCAGGUGCUUGGGGCGGAAAAUUACCAGGGGCAGCAUAAUGCUGGGGCCCCAGCUCCGACCUGAGGCAGCGUCCUGGACUGGAUCCUGACUGCCCCGGGGGGCGGUAACCAGCCUGUUGCUCUGAUUGGGUGCUCCGAUUGGCUGUGCGGCAGGGCAAGAGAAGCCGGCUCAGUGAGGAGUGUGUCCCCGUCGCUCUCCCAUGGGCAGCAGCCACACCCCCUCAGGCGGGAGCCGGUAGCACGGCCCUGCCCCGGCCGCGGAGCGCAUGGGGUGGUGGCAGAACAUAGUGGCUGGGCGGGAACAUAGUGGCUGCAGGCUCCUCCUCAGUUUGUCCCCGCCGCUGCCUCCUAUCUGGGAAGGGGAGGGCUGAGCCGAACGUGUGCUCUCUCUCAGCAGGAGUCCGAGAAGAUGGACAGGGCCAAGGCAAGAAUGAGCGGGGCCGGGAUCCAGCAGCAGCCCUAACCACCAGCGUCGGGAGUGUUGGUGGCGGGAGACGAGUCCUCGGACAGUGAGGGGGGAGCAUGAGGGCCCCCAGAAACUCGUCCAGAAAGUGUCCACCUCAGGCCAGAUCUGCUGCAAGGUGACCAUGAAUGAUAUCACUCUCCUGAGGAUAACACAGAGAGAUAAAGAACAGAUGUUGCUUGAAUGCCAGCAAACACCGGGACUGUACGCUGCCCUGCUUUGUUAUGCAGUGAUUCCAGACUACGUGCUACUGGCCUGGCAUGGUAAAGUGUCCUACCAUGGAGGAUGGAAUAAGGCUGCCCUCCCCAGAAACCUUUUGCAAAGGCUUUGGGAGUACCCCC
Molecule: long non-coding RNA, 5507 nt
Organism: Chelonia mydas (Green sea turtle)
Lineage: Eukaryota; Metazoa; Chordata; Testudines; Cheloniidae
Exons: 3
Source: RefSeq, a predicted model, not a curated record